Non-coding RNA from Bos taurus (domestic cattle), 72 nucleotides. NCBI's taxonomy places the organism in Eukaryota, Metazoa, Chordata, Mammalia, Artiodactyla, Bovidae. The record is from Rfam.
UCCCUAGUAGCUCAGAUGGUAAAGCAUCUACCUACAAUGUGGGAGACCCGGGUUCAAUCCCUGGCUCUGGAA